AUCCAGAAGGCUGGUAAUGGUAACUGAAGAGUCUCCUGACUGACCUCCAGAAUUUCCCUGGAAAGGAUCUUCAUCUGUCAGGGGUGCUGUGGAAGGAUUCUUCAUGACCUAGAAUGUCACUUCCAAGUCCAAGAUAAGUGUUUUUUUAUUAUUCCAUUCUACAGAGCGGAGACCUAUGGUAUGUAAUUAAAAUAGCUUGUUGUUUUAUUUGAUUAUAAAUAUAAUACAUGGUCAGCAUAGAACACAGAGAAAAGUGUUCAUAAAAAUAAGCAGUAUUUUAUUAAGAUGACCACUAUCUCUGAAGGAUAAAUAGCUAAAAUUUGUGAAUGAAAUAAGACAAAUCUCAGAGUUCUUUGUCCCCAGGAUUUUGGUGCUCUGUUUGACCAUCUGCAUGGGGAUGGACAGGGAUAAUCUUUCCAUGAACAAAUGCAAGGCAGGCAAGCAAAGGCGUGGCAGAUAUAAAACAGGAGACAACCAAAAACCCUCUUCUUUUUGAUUUUUACAUGCAUUUUCAUACUUCCAUUUGAGCAGAGACUCGUCUGGUAUAUUUGAAAAUUCACUUCAAAGGAAAUAAUAAAAUCUUGGUGCAAGAGAAAUUGAAGUGCUUUCCAAUUUCCCAACUUCAAUAAAAUGCUCCCUAGUGUUACUCUGAAAGUCACUCUGGAUGGGAAAUUGACAGCAAUGGUUCAUUUCCAAGGUGGUGACGGAGGGGACAGUGAGGGUGGCACUGAGCUAGGGCCAAUAUAGCACCGGGACUGGGAGAACCUGGUCUCUCAGCAGUGAGUGCCAAGAUUCCAAAGCUCUCUGUGCAAAGAUCAUGGCUAAUUGUGGCUAAGAGGCAGUUUUGGAGUAUCUGAGCAGAGGGUGUGUGGCAUCUGAAGCUUCUGGCAGCAUCAUACUUCCCUUUGGAGGGCUGUCGAAAUCAUAGACCCAGGAGAGCCACUCAGAUGGAGACAAUGGGUGUUUUUUGACUCUCUGAGCAGUUAAAUGGGUCCAGAUUAUUCAUGUGACUCAGUGCAGAGAAGAGCACCAAGACCGGUCAGGAGCAGCAUCACCCUCCUUCUGGCGCUGGCAUGUAUUCUCAUUAACCUCCCAUGAACCCAUUGUCCUGGACAUCUCUUAACUCCUUCUCCCCAAAUCUCUAAGCCCUUAGGUCAUUCUUUGGCUCCUGAUACCCACCUCAGGCUUCCUUUGCUUUCGUGAUAGUCUGGAUUUCUCAGAUGGCAGGGUAUUCGUCUGGCCAGCCUGACUCUUUUCUGGCAAACACUUUUGGCUCCACAUCUCCAUUCACCCUGACCCUGUGCGACCCUUCCAGGAAAGUGAAUUCCGAUAAAGGACAGCAGUCAGGGUCUAAUCCUAUGUUGGUCGGAUGGAAAAGUUUUAUUGGAGCUAGGAAAAAAGGACAAGACCCACACAGUUCACUAGAUCGGGCUCAGAGGUGAGAGCUAUGUCCACUGGGGAAAUAAAAGGUAAGUCAGAUUCAGGGUGAAAAGAGAGCCAGACAAAUGCUCCAGACACAGACCAUGCUUGGUAUGUUUCAGAAUGAGUCUCACUCAUGUGUCACAGUCCUCAUUUUCAAGAUGCAGGUUGAGAGGCUGGUCUAAUGUCCCCAAAGCUGGAAGUUGCAGACCUGGAACGUGGGCCCAGGCAUUAUCAUUAUCCUUGUUACACAGAAGAGAGACCUGAGGUCCAUAAGUUGGAAAAGGUUGCUCCCCAGAAAGAAGCAGGAGGAAGGUGGAAUGGGUGCCAAAAGACCAGAAGCUAACCAUUGUCCACUGCAAUGCAGCAUCUAUAGCCACCCUGCUUCCCUUAUGCGUAUUCUCCAAACACCUUCACUUCACAUAAUUCAAUGUUCUGGGUACAACUGACAACACUCUCACUUCUUUACCAAAAAGGAGCAUAUGACACUCCUGUCAAUCACGCCUGCAGCUCCACGUCCAGAAUCUCUGCUUGGUGUUUCCUUCACCGCCACUUCUGUGUGAGCCCAUCUAGAUAUUCGACAGUCUGUGAGGCAGAUGGUUAAUUUAACUAUCACCCUCCCAGCCUACACACUACGUGAGGCAAAAAGAGGAGGAAAGUGGAGGGAAAUUAAUAAGAUACAACAAUGCAGUUUGAGAUUGGCCACGCGCCUUGUUUAUAUCCAUUUGACCCUCUCUAUCUCCACUUGUAUGCCUGUGUGCCACUUUUAUGUCUAAAGUGAGUCUUGACCUCCCCCUAAAACCUGUGCAGUCUUCCCACCUCUGGGCCUAGGCCAGAAACCUUGGGGACCCCCUUGACCCCUCUCUUUUUCAUAUUAUGUCAAAGCUAUCAGCAGGUCUCAUCGGUUUCACUUUCAAAGUCCAUCUAGAAUCCAAACACUCUGCACCUUUUCUGUGAAAACCCUGAUGCAAACACAUCAACUUUUGCUAAGAUUGUUGUCAUGACCUCCUACCUCCUCUGCCUGCUCCUAGUCUUGCCUACUAUAGUCUAUUCUCAACACAGCAGCUAGAGCAAACUGUGAAAAGGUUGUCAGAUCAUUAAACAGCAUCCUGCCCUAACCCCCAGUGGCCUCCAGUACUCUGCAGCUGGAAACUAAAUUCCUCAUCAUGCCUGCAGGGUAUGCCUGAUCAGGUGCCUGUGACUCCCUGAUGGUGACCCCAGCCCUCUCGCUUACUCUACUCCAGCAGCCCUGGCCUCUUCACACGCCUGGCUUGUCCCCACCACACCAUGUGUGCGUACAUUAUCCCUUCUACUUGGAGAUAUCCAUGGGGCUUGCUCCCUGGCAAAUGCUUCUUGUCCUUAUUCAAAUGCCAGCUUCUCAAAGAGGCCUGCUCUGACCACAUAGUUUAAACCCUCUUCCAAGCCCAAAUUCUCUUUCUCUGCCUUUAUUUCCCCCCAUAUUUCUUAUUGUCUUCAGCAUAAUAUGUUUUACUUUUAUAUGGUUUAUUAUCUGCAUAAGCUCCACGAAGAAAAGGAAUUUUGCCUGUUCUAUUCAUCACUCGCCCCUUGGACCAGACAGUGCUUGGCACAUAGGAGGUGCUCAAUAAAUAUUUGUUGAAUGAAUGAAUGAACGAAUGAAUGGAUGUGUGCUUGAAUUGCUUACAGGGCCGUAGCUGGUAUUCCACCAGUCUGUAAUGCUUCCCUCUUCCAGUGCCCAUUCUACUUUCUCUCACCUUUUCCCAGCACUUCAGCCAAUGGAGAGCUCUCGGGAAGGUUAGCGUGACCUGAAUCUGGUGUACCUGCCUGUGCAGAGCUGCUGCCGUCUUCCAUUACCUUUAUUGCAGGUCAGAGUGCUAAGACUUUCCCUGGGAUCCCCUGAGUUUUGUCUGUACUUUUCCUAUUCCCCACUGUGUAAUAGCAGCCCGAUUUCCCCCUUAAUACUCCAGUCAAUCAUCCCAGCCAGCACGGUAACCAUUUUCCUCCCAGUGAAAUGAAUAGCAGGAAAUACGUGGGUGGCAGUCUCAGCUUCCAAUUCCAAUCUCUCUCCUAAGAGAGUCAGACUUAUGGGUACAGGAAGUAAAACGUUCGUAAAUGGGUCAUUAGGUAUGUUCAUGAGAGAGGCCCUUCUCACUUGCCCCUCCUUGUACUGGGCCCAUGUGCUCCAACCAUGGGGGAAAUAGCACCAUAUCUUGGACCCUGGUGCACAGCCUUCAGAAAGACAGUGCCCAAGCUGGAAUGUAUCAUCUUCCAGCUGGCACUGUAAUUGAGCCAUCAGUAAGCCAUUCCGCCAAGCCGUAAAGGCAGAUGCUUCUGGCUGACAGGAGUCAUGAGAAGACUGCAUUGCUUGGGCACCAGCUCAUUGCCUUUCUUCUCUGCCUGGGGAGUACAUUCUUUGGUCAGAAGCAAUGUUGUGUGAGACAGUGAAUAAUGUAUUCAGUAACUUGACAGAUGACAGUGCUGGCAGAGGCCUGACAGGCCAGGAAGCAGAAGUAAAAUCAAAUCCAGGAAUAAAAGUCUGCUUCAACUGGACAAAUUGCAGAGCCCUGCAAUACAGGAGGGCCCAUCGUAACUAACCUGCCACCAGGUAGCUGGAGGACCUCCUAGAGGUAUGUUAUCACACUGCCAACCCCUUCAAGUCCAAGCUGGUCACCCCUGGUGACGGCACGCUGGCCAUAACAUAAUUAGUUGUGUUUUGCCAUUGUUUAUGAUGAUUUGGAGGAGGGGGAGCUCCAAGGAAUGACAGAAUGCUAAAAAACAGCCCGAAAGAACAAGGACCAAGGAAACUCAAGGUAGUAUGAAUUUUGAUAGCCCCAUCAGAACACAGCUUCUGGAAUAAAUCAGCAUGUACCAUCUUUGUGCUCGUUGUGACUGCUCAAAACUCUCGUCCUGGUGUGGAGGAUCUGAGUGAGCCUGCUUAGGUGCCAUAUCUCUGCUUCUUGGCUAUUCCAGACUGCAUCUCGUGAGAGAGAGGCAAUUUCCUCAAAGGAAAUCAAGAUGCUAAUGUUAAGGCGAAAGGGACACUAAACAGCUAUAAACUCGACAAGUUUCCCUAUAUUGGACUUCUUGGUCUGAAGAUCUUCAAGGUGUUCAGAGGUCUUUUGGUGGGGAGGGUCGUGAUGGUUGGGUGGUGGGGUGAAGUGACCAUUAGUCAGGAACUCAGAGAGUUGGUGCAUAAUAAAUGUUGGAUGCUUCCUACCACCCACCUCUCUCUCUACCCCAUCCAUCUCCCUGUGCACAGCCUGAGCUGCUGAUCUUACUUUUUGAUAAUGUGAUAACCACUCACGUUCAUCUCAGAAGUGACCUUUGUCCCAGUGACCUGUGCUCUACCUUUUUAAGGACUGCCCUGACCUCAGGCAUGCACAUCAGGCCACACUGCCGGUUUUUGGUUUGGAAAGUGUGGCUGCAGUCGCCCCAGGCUGCUGGCUCUGCCUCUGAUUAGGUUCACUGUGGCCUUCCAGACAUGGAUUCAUAUAAAAGGCCGCCAUAAAGGAAAGAGGAAAAAAGUGGCUGUGCUGAGCCUCAUGGCAGGUUUUCAUUAGGUCUUGAUGAAGCCUGGGCCUGCAGUCCCCGAGGCCCUUUUCAAUUUCCACUUGAUCUGGCUCAGCGUGCUCCUUAGCCUUGAGGACCCCGAAAGAGCUGGGCGAUUCCUGGGCUCAGGUGUCGUCCAGAACUAAGCUUGGGCUGCGGGUGAGGAGGGAUCUGGAAAGAGACUUUCUAUGGCUUCCAAGAGCAGCAGCGCUGUGUCUCGAAGACUUUUUCCCUGCCUGGUUCUCUGCUGGGCUCCCACCUCUUGAGAGGGAGCCCUGGGAAGCCCUGCCUACGACGUGAGGGAGUCUGGGCUCCAGUUCCAGCCCUGGCAGCCUGCUGGCUCUGUUGCUUGCAUGUUUCCCCUUGGAGCCUCGGCUUCCUGUUCUGUGGAGUAUUGUCAAGAACAGUGUCUGUUCUGUAAGUAGGUGUGUGCAUAUGUGUGCAUAUUUAUUGAUCACGCAAGUAGUUAGGCACUCGGCAAUGCAUUUUAUCAACACUAUUUUAUUUAAUAGUCACGUUUAGCUUUGGGGUUUAAAUAUUAUUAAAUUUACUUUAUCAAUGAGAAAACUGAGGCUCACAAAAGGAGCUAGCUAACAGACGGUUUCGCUGGCGUCAGAAUCCCGCCUGUCGGACCAAACUCACAGCCGCACUUUGCUAUCUCUGUACCUACAUUCUGAAUGCUAUGUCUGGGGCAGAGCGGCCACUUCACAGUCAUCACUACUCUGUUUGAACAUAUGCUUAGUUUCCACGCAUGUGAGUCUCGCUGACUCCACGCACGAGGGCCUAGCUGCCAGGAGCGAUAUUUUGGCAGUGCUUGUCACUGAGAGCAGUUUCAUAUGCUAAUAAGGAUGAACAAUUCAGGGUCAGUAAUCUGUCUGGUGUUUUCCAUCCCUGUUCCUUGCUGGGGCACAAAGUAGACCAGGGAUGAUGCUUCCUGGAGGGAAGGCCAGGCCAUCUGCAGAGCUGUCUCCGUGGAGGGCUUGGUGAGCCUGUUUCUCCCGUGCAGGUAGGGAGAAGGACUGGGGGAGAACAGCCUCUCAUUUAGGGGCCCUUCGUGCUCUGUGCUGGCAGCCUGGCGGCUGCAGGGAGCUGCCGCUCUCCGCGCUGGGACGUUCUCUGCUGCUGAGCAUUUCUCUCUUAUCUCACAUUUCCCAGCGACUGUUUUAAAUUAGGCACCCUGGGAUUCUCUGGACUUCGUAGAGCCCAGUAAACCCUCCCUGGGGAGCAGGCCUAGAAGGCCACGAGGGCUUUUCCUAUUUAGGCUAACGUCUAUGUCACCCUCGAGCUUGGAGGAAUUUUCCAAGCCACUAAUUUGUACUUUGCCAGGAGACGAGAGUGAUGAGCGGUAUUAUUUUAGGCUUUCUAAAUUGGAGCACUGCUUUUGGGUACUUGAUAUUCUCAAUUUCUUAUUUCCUUCAACUCAGAGAUCUGGCAGUUUUUAUUGUGUUGUUUAAAAGGGCAGUUGGGUUUUUCAGAGAAGUAUUUCUGACCCCUCUCUUCAAUGUUCUAAAUGAUAACUUUUGGUUCUGCAAUUUAAUUAAACAAAUAUUUAUCAUGUGCCUAUUAGAUGUCAGGUUCUGAGCUAAGAGCUGCAGAAGGUAUAAAGAUCAAUGAUUUAUUCAUUCAUGCAUUCAUCUAGUCCUUCAUUCAGCGAGCCUUUUUGAGCACCUGCUAUUAACCAGUUACUAGCAGGUGCUAGAACUGGAGCUGUAUGUCAGUUAGGACUGCAUUCUGCUUGGAGUAAUAGAAAGCCUAACGAAAGUGCCUUAAAUAAAUAAGGGUUUUCUUUUUCUUAUACGUCAAGAUGGCUGGAGUCAAAUAGCUACUGGUAUUAGUUAAUAGGCUCUAUGAUGUUUGGGAUGAUAUUUCUGCUCUUGCUGAGCCUCUUCCUCAUGAUCUCAAGAUAGCUGCUGCAGCUCCAGCCAUAAUUUCCACGUCAAGGCAGGAAGAAGGAAAGGCUGUCAGCCAAGUUAGGACAUUUUUAUCAAGAAAACAUAAACUUCCCCACAUCACUCACUCUCAGCCAAUUCCUCCUUAUGGAUCAUUGGUCAAGAUAAAGUCACUGGUCACUCCCUAGGUGAGAGGGAACCUGGACAGGAGACAGGGCUGUCAUGAUUAGCUUUGACCUGUCAUGCUCCCUCUCGGACUUCCGUUAGUAAGGAAGAUAGGAGGGUGACAUUGGAUAAGUAAACAGUAUUUGUAAAAGCACUAAAUGGAAGCGUUAGUGUACUUGCAUCCAGGGAACUGUCAUCUUGGCAGAGGCAGAGGGAGGGGGGUGCUAAACAGAGGAGUGGGGGCGGGGUGGACCACGGUUGCACAGCACUUCACGUGCAUGAGUCCGUUUGAUCCUCAAUAUAAACCUGUGACACAGGCUGAACAGACAUCAUUAGUCCCACUUUAUAGAUGCCCUCGUCUAUAAAACUGAGGCAUGGGGGCCGGGUCCAUGGCUGAGUGGUUAAGUUCGAGUGCUCUGCUGAGGCAGCCCAGGGUUUGGAACCUGGGCGCAGACAUGGCACCGUUCGUCAGGCCACGUUGAGGCGGCGUCCCACAUCCCACAAUUAGAAGGACCUGCAACUAAGUUAUACAACUAUGUACAGGGGGGUUUGGGGAGAUAAAGCAGAAAAAAAAAAGAAGAUUAGCAACGGUUGUUAGCUCAGGUGCCAAUCUUUAAAAAAAGAAAAAAACCGAGGCAUGAAUAGACUAAAUGACGGUAUUCUGGGGGCCAUGUGGGUAAGAUGCAGUAAUCCAGAGAACAAAAUCUAAAUCUGCUGACUCUCGUCCAGUGUUCUCACCAUAGUCCAAGCAUCUAGAGCUGACAUGUGUGGCUUCUGUCCUCUCACCUCCUUCCAUUGUGAAUCGGCUGCCUGCAUCAUGGCCUUAGCCAUCUGUUGACACCCCAUCCGCCACCUGCAUAACCACCAACCCAUCAUCCUCUCAUGCACCCAGUGGCUCCUGCACUCACUCAAAGGCUACCAUUGAUGUGAAGUAGGCAAGCCACAAAUGUCGAAGCAAAUAUUGAAGAAAGAGUGAUGAAUUAAUCCUAAAAGUCAGAUAUUUUUUAAAGGAAUACGAACCACAGAUAUAAGAAAUGAAAGGUUCAAGUUGACUUGCCCAAGGAAGCCAGCCAGAUGGGAAAUCUUCUUCCUAAAUCCCUAAACGUGUUAGGUCUACCUUUCACCGUACAAGUCUCGCAGCAGAGGCCUAGAGGAUCAGAAACAAGGAGCUGAUUUGAAAAUAAAGGUUAUGAAAAAUGGAAAGGAAAGUUCACGUGUGGAUACAGCAAGAAGGCAGCUGUCUACAAGCCAGGAAGAGAGCUCUCACUGGGAAGUGAAUCUGCUAGCAUCUUGAUCUUGGACUUCCAGCCUCCAGAACUAUGAGAAAUAAAUUUCUGUUGUUUAAGCUUCCC
Equus caballus (horse) is the source of this 8353-nucleotide long non-coding RNA. Lineage: Eukaryota; Metazoa; Chordata; Mammalia; Perissodactyla; Equidae. The record is from Ensembl.